RNAcentral lists this ribosomal RNA (227 nucleotides) under Clostridioides difficile. RNAcentral's name for it is "partial 23S ribosomal RNA". It matches the Rfam family "Bacterial large subunit ribosomal RNA", at positions 1367 to 1589 of the family's 2925-position model. The record is from RNAcentral. Lineage: Bacteria; Bacillati; Bacillota; Clostridia; Peptostreptococcales; Peptostreptococcaceae.
CGUCCGCCCUGGGUUAGUCGGGACCUAAGCUGAGGCCGAAAGGCGUAGGUGAUGGACAACAGGUUGAUAUUCCUGUACUACCGAUAACCGUUUGAGAGAUGGGAUGACACAGUAGGAUAAGCUAAGCACACUGUUGGUUAUGUGUGCCCAAGCAUUGAGGCAGUCAAAGUAGGUAAAUCCGCUUUGAUAAUGCUGGGAUGUGAUGGGGAGCGAAAUUUAGUAGCGAA